UAACAGCUGCGUCACCGCAAAAUUGAGGAAAGGAAUAUGUUUGACAUUUUUUCGGAAGAAAACUACGAAAAACUAUUUAUAGUAUGUUUUAAACCAGUUGUUGCUGUUGAUAUAUAAUUUAUUCAGACACCGUGUCACCUGUCAGGAGUUGCAGCUAAAGUAAAAACCACAAAAGAAGCGGAAGUGGGAAGUGGAAGUGGAAAAGUAACAGGAUGCAUUCACUUGUUUAUUGUUCAAGGAUACAUCCAAAGAGGCAUCUUUUUGACUUGGAUUCAACGCAGGAUCCGAUGCAGUUUGACAGAACAACCUUUUGAAGGAUUGGCAAGCCAAGUUUCUUGAAGUAUUCCUCUCCUAUUAUUCCAUAUGUCAAAUUUUAAGAGGAUCAUCUGUGUGAGAAAUCUUGACA
Molecule: long non-coding RNA, 406 nt
Organism: Amphiprion ocellaris (clown anemonefish)
Lineage: Eukaryota; Metazoa; Chordata; Actinopteri; Pomacentridae
Source: Ensembl